GGCAGUGGGUGCUCUUUGGACGCUUCUCCCACUCGCACACGUACGCCAGCUCCAUGACGGAACCACAGAAGAAGAAGCUGGAGGCCAAGUGAUGCCUCACCUGAGAACAGACACACAGCACAGGAAUCAUUUCUGUGGAGGGACUGUGGUUCACCCUCAGUGGGUUGUCACUGCUGCACAUCGCCUGGAGAGGUGCUAUAAGGUGCUGCUGGGUGUCCACACAGAGAGAGCCAAUGAGCUGUCAAACAAGAGAGGAACCUGGAGAAACUGGUGCUGGGACCCAACGGAGCUGACAUCGCUCUGCUCA
Long non-coding RNA from Acanthochromis polyacanthus (spiny chromis), 307 nucleotides. RefSeq lists it as uncharacterized. The transcript is spliced from 3 exons. The record is from RefSeq and is a predicted model, not a curated record. NCBI's taxonomy places the organism in Eukaryota, Metazoa, Chordata, Actinopteri, Pomacentridae.